AUUGAACGCUGGCGGCAUGCUUUACACAUGCAAGUCGAACGGCAGCGCGGGCUUCGGCCUGGCGGCGAGUGGCGAACGGGUGAGUAAUACAUCGGAACGUGCCCAGUAGUGGGGGAUAGCUCGGCGAAAGCCGGAUUAAUACCGCAUACGACCUGAGGGUGAAAGCGGGGGUCCUCGGGCCUCGCGCUCUUGGGGGGGCCGAUGGCAGAUUAGCUAGUUGGUGGGGUAAAGGCCUACCAAGGCGACGAUCGGUAGCCGGUCUGAGAGGACGACCAGCCACACUGGGACUGAGACACGGCCCAGACUCCUACGGGAGGCAGCAGUGGGGAAUUUUGGACAAUGGGCGAAAGCCUGAUCCAGCAAUGCCGCGUGUGUGAUGAAGGCCUUCGGGUUGUAAAGCACUUUUGGCGGGAACGAAAAGGACUGUGCCAAUACCACGGUUCGAUGACGGUACCUGCAGAAUAAGCACCGGCUAACUACGUG
RNAcentral lists this ribosomal RNA (483 nucleotides) under uncultured bacterium. RNAcentral's name for it is "partial 16S ribosomal RNA". It matches the Rfam family "Bacterial small subunit ribosomal RNA", at positions 28 to 507 of the family's 1533-position model. The record is from RNAcentral.